Molecule: long non-coding RNA, 951 nt
Filed under: Scleropages formosus (Asian bonytongue)
Lineage: Eukaryota; Metazoa; Chordata; Actinopteri; Osteoglossiformes; Osteoglossidae
Description: lncRNA (ENSSFOG00015031205.1)
Source: RNAcentral
UGGGCGCAGUGACCUUCAUUGUGGAGCUCGGACUGUGUCCGUCCCCUGCUACAUGCGGAAGCAGGCAAGCGGCAUCAUGGGAAACUCCCAAGGAUUUUCUCGCACUCGACGAGAGGAUGUGGGACAAAGGGGGAAAUAAAUAAGAAGCUCCGGUGGGUCCUGGAAGGAAGAAAUCGAGCCCCUGGGGGUCAGGGGCAGGACAGCAGGCAGGACAAAAGAAAAGCUCGAACUGCGUAGGCCGGUUAAUUGCUGAAGAAGCUCAGUUUGGACAGCGCCGCACACACACAGACCCCUGACUGAUGAACCUGGCAUCCGUGGGGUGAAGGACCCAGGGACCUUUCAAUGACGUAACCCCACAGAGAGUCGGAACGUGAUGAAAAACCCCGAGACGCACACAGGGCCUCUACUGUCGUUGAAGCCACGGAGUCCCGCGGUUCAAAGACUCUCCAGCACACCUGCGAACAUCUCCUCUCCAGCCCGGCUAGGAGGCGCCCUACGGCUGCCGGCGCAACCCCAGCGCAGCCCCAACGCCCGCUCUAAUGAUGCACGCUGGAGCUGGGGCGCAGCUGUCCCCAGACACCCUCGAACCCGGUGUCUGCUCUGAUCAACGGCCAGCUCCGCGGUUCCCAGCUCCAUCGAGAUCCUGCCGUUUCACACUUCUGCUCCCUCUAAUUUUGCUGAAAUGAUUGUAGACGAUGAUACGCAUGUAGUGGACUGUUACUGUUAUGUUACAUCAUUCUACAGCACACAUGCGAUACCUCAACCGCCCGCAUGGCUUGGAGCUCCCUGUGGUUUGUUUAUGUAACUAGAUCAUUAUAUCAGCCAUAAAGUAGUGUCAGCAGCUUGUUAGAGUAUUAUUUACACAUUAUGGGUAAAUCAGGGUGUGAUUAUGAGCGCGGUGUGUAUUAUUUGCACCUCCUACGCUGUCCUUCAGAGUAACAUUAACCCACC